AAUGAAAUGGCUGAAUUAUAAGCGAUAAAUUGUAAAUUUAUUUAUGAGAUAUUUUCUCUUUUAUUA
Molecule: transfer RNA, 66 nt
Filed under: Lamproptera meges
Lineage: Eukaryota; Metazoa; Arthropoda; Insecta; Lepidoptera; Papilionidae
Description: tRNA-Tyr
Source: RNAcentral